CCUAUCCAAAGCUUCAUCUCUUACCUGAGCCUCUCCUAUUCUGAGCUUUGAGCUCUGUCUGUUUGUCUGCCAUUAUAUCCUUCUAUUCUCCUCUCAUUUCCUCUUUCUCUCUUUUAUCCGUGUCCACAUUUUCUUCUCAAUAAUUUGUCCUUAGAAAAUUUUUGAAGAAUGGGGCCAUUACAGUCUUGGAUUUCGGAACAUAAGCUCGCCAGCAUAGGCGCAGUGUGGGCAUCGGCCAUAGGAGCAUCCCUAGUAGCUUAUACACGAGCUAAGUCACCCCUCAAACCAAGCCUUAGGCUUAUACAUGCUAGAAUGCAUGCUCAGGCCUUGACCCUGGCGGUGCUAUCCGGAGCUGCGGUCAUGCAUUACUACGACAAGAACCGGGCCGCCGAGGAAUCAGCGGAGGAUGCUCCUAAGAUGAAAAAUGCUUAAAUAAGAGGAGAUGAUGAUGAUGAAGAUGAAUAACUAGGACUAGCCAGUAAACAUAAGAACAGAGUGGCCAUCAAGGAUGUUUUUUCCUAAAUCGUGAAAAAAAAAAGAAACAAGGAUAUAAAUGGCAAUUUCACAUCAUAUUAUGCCAAUGUAGACUGUAAUAGCUAGUUAGAUAGCUAUCAUGUAUUUGUUUAUUCAAAGAAAUACGGAUACAUCCGAUGCAGAAUUCUGAA
Molecule: long non-coding RNA, 665 nt
Organism: Nelumbo nucifera (sacred lotus)
Lineage: Eukaryota; Viridiplantae; Streptophyta; Magnoliopsida; Proteales; Nelumbonaceae
Source: RefSeq, a predicted model, not a curated record